CUGGAAGUACUAUGCAAAUCUUCAUUUGAAGACCCUGGGAACCGGGGGAGGGCUUUAGUUGCGAGCUCAGUAGGAGGGGAGCUCUGUGUCCCCGCUCGUGCACUCCUGCCUACUGCAAGUAGCUGGGGAGAGUUUUUUGAACUGGCAGAGGAGACGUUUUGCGCUUUGUGCGCUUCUGUGAGGCUUUGCAGUCCUUCUGUCUCCUGCUUUGUGCUUUUUUUUUUCCUGCCUACUUCUAAAUUUUUGCAUAAGAAUUGGGGAGGGGGGAGAUCUAAGAGUUACUGUUACUGAUUAUGAGGUCAGGAGGGUGCAGCACCCCUCCUGCCUGCCUUCCUCGCACACUGAUCUGGAGCCUCCUACCAGGCAGUGGUGCAGCUGCAGUGUGCUAUUCUGAGUUCCACAUCAGCAUAGCCUGACUGCUGGCAUUGCAUUAGCAUAGAGCACAGACCCGGUUUCAGUAAGCAAACAGUUCACCUGGUAAGGAAUAGUGGAGUGAAAUAGUUUGCAGUUCUCAAAUUAGCACGUUGUAGCCAGGUCUUAAAAAGCCCUCUCUUACUGGGGCAAAGACUCACAGCCCAGUACCUGCUUUAUGAAACCCUGCAGUCUGUCCUGGCAUGGCUUAGUGCUGUGUGUCACCUGUUUUGUAUUAGGAGAGGGUCACACUAACUGCCAGCUUCCUGGAAACUGCGUAGGGUCCUGCUUAGGCCUCUUGGAAAGGGAAAUACCCCAGCUGCACAGGCACGUGGGAGAACAGGGCAGCGGGGGAGGGACAGCAUGGAUUCAAAUCUGGGCAUUUGGGGGUUUAUAUCGUUUAUGCAUGUUAAAGGCUGUCACGGACUUUUUAUUUUUCUCACCUUUUUCAUGGCAGUAGUCCCACUGUUUAUUUUCAAACGUGGAGAGGUUUUUGUGUUCCGACAAACUCAGAAUUACUUUCUCCAGGGUUGUCGUUGUUUCAGUGCUGUUCUCUAUAUUCAUCCAAGAAGAUGCAGCCUCUUCAAAAAUCUCACCGUUAGUCAAGGGAAUGGAGGAAUCCAUACCACAAGGCCUGAUUCUCUUAGCUUCCACAUAUCCAAUGCUACAUAAGCCUACCAUUUUGUUCUGCAGGGACUUUACUGCUUUUGGGAGGGUGUGUUGCAGGCAUCCCCUUGUGUACAGCUGGGUCUAAAUUCACUCUUUUUUUUUUUUUUUUUCUUGUGUAACUCCGGAGUGACUUCAGUGAAUGCCGUCUGGAACUGUGCUAACUGGAAACCAGCCUCACUCCUACCACCAUGGAACUUUUUUUUUGCUGUGCCAUUGUGAUAGGAGGUGGAGACACCUCGAGGAGAAGGUCGAAGCAGACAACAGCAGUUGCAGGCAGCAAUGUCUGUCUAUGACUGGAGAAAAUCCUGCCUCAAUUAUAGAAAUGUCAGGAAGACUAUCCGUUUUUCAGAUCUGUUUUGAUACGUUUUAACUUCAUGAUGCAGAGUACGGUCGCUCUCAGGAGGUUGCAGAAAAAGGACAUAAAACCAUAAUAAGUUUUCAGAGAGGAUAUCAGCAUGCCAUCUGAAGGUUAUCCCACUGUGGUUCAUGCAGCUCAGGGUUUGAAGGACGAAAUGAUCACAUUGAUUUUCAUGAUGUUUAAGGCUAAACACGUGAAACCAUGUUCUGAUCUGGACAUUAUUUCUUCCUGACUUUAUGAAACAUGACAACUUGAAAAUACUCCAUCUGAUCAAUUGUAAAAAUUCAGGUAAUUCCUAUUAUUACUGUGGGAGAUUACCACUACUCUGGGAAAACAGUAGAAAGCAACAUGGAAAAACGAGGUUCUGGCAGCAAUUUAGAUAUCACUACAUUUGUAGAUCAAGUAAUUGAGUACGUGCACUCAUUUGUGGCCCUGGCAUACCAAUACAUUUUUUUUUCCUCUCUAAGAACUGAAGUUAUCACAUCACUGAAAUAUCUGUAGCUAGAUAAAUAAUACAGAGCUUGUAUGCAAUCUGUGCAAAACUGAAGGAAAACAGAUCUGAAAUUCGGGAUGGAGGAAAGGAUGGUGGACAUGCAACAGCUCUACUAUGAGAGUACCCUGCUACAGCAGUAGUGAAGGUAUGCAUGGAAAUGCUGAUAGUGACAUUGAGAGGAGGUAGAUGGGGCACUGUGUUGCUGUUGUAGGAAGGAAUGAAGGAUUCUCAAGGAGAGUGGGAAGAGCAUUCCUGAAGGGGAGAAGUGGGCAUCACACCAACCCAUGUGCAGCCUGCUUGUGGGCACGUGUGUACCUCAGGUGAUAGAGGGGAUGCUGAGAGAGGGAUUUGGAAAAAGUGGCACAUGAGGCAUUUGUGAAGCAGGGGGAAGUGUUAAAAAAUGAGGGAGGCCCUUAGAGUAAAUGGAAGUGGGGUGAGACUGGAUUUAUUCUGAGGAUUUGUAAAAAUGGGGGAGAGGGUAGCCCAUGGUUGGAUUGAGGAAGGUGAGUGUCCUGGCUUCACAGGGCCCAGCUUUUAAGUACUGACUUAGUGCUGUUAAAAAACAAAGGAGCCUUAAUAGGUUUAAAGUACUACUCUAUUUUCUGAAGUUAUUAGAUUCUCUUCUUUCCAUCUUAGUACUGGAUGUUGAAGCUUACUAAGCAAUAACCUAACAACACUGCUAGUAUUUCCACGUUCUGUUUCUUUAAAAAGUUCAUAAAACUUGUCACAAUGUCCCAGCAAAGCUCUUUCUGCUGCACUAUCUAAUCCAAAGUACUGUGUAUGAGAUUUAUGUUCUGUGAUAAACUUGGACCCCACCACAUUACAAGCGAACAGAUUACUUAAAGUUGCCAUUAUUAUUAAGUUUGAAGGGCUCUUUUGUUUCAUAGAGUACAUCACCCUUACCCCACAGCUGUGGUCUCCACGGCUCUGUGCAUCACACAUCUAUAAACUUGGGCAAUCUGGAAUAAAGAACUUCCUCCAGGGCAGUUUAAUAGUUGAGUAGAUUCACUGUGUUUUUUGUGAUAAAAUUGUGCACAUCUAAACUACAGUAGAAGAUAGCAGGCAUUGUGGAAUUGACCAAAGGGUCCUUGAUAUGUAAAUAAUAGGUUUCUCCUCUCAUGUGUAAGUCCCCUUGAACUUGAUAUUUUAAUAUAUAAGGUUUCCCUGAAACCCUGGAUCCAUACUGUAAGGUUCCUAGAAAAAUAAUUAUACACAAAAUCACCGGACUUCAGAUUCACCCCAUGUAAAGCCUGGCAAACUUGAGCCUGAAGACAAAGAAGAGUGAAACUGUAAUGCCAGUCACACCCUCAACACAAAGACUACAGGCGUAACCAGAGCAGGAAUUUGCUACAAAAUCUCUCUGAUCUGAAAUCAAGCAGAACUCUGGAAACAGCUGCUAAAUACCCAAGGCCAGAGACUUCUCGUCCUCAGGCCAGUUCUUGUGUUAUACGGUGAUCUAAAGCUUGUUCUGUUUCCAUUUUAUGGAAAGAUUGCUAAUAUUCAUUGUAGCAACUGAAAUAUUUUGCUUGGUCUUUGUUGCUGUUGUUAAAAUGAGUCUACAUGUGGUUGAAUUAAUAGUUUUUCUUAUUGUGACUGCGGGACAAAAAGACAUCACUAUCUCCCCAUUUCCAAGUGAGAAGUUCACCUUACAUCUUUAGGUGUACCCUUGGGAUUGCAACUAGCAGUGACUACCAACAUUAACAGUAGUAUAGUUUAUACUGUCUAAAUAGCCUCGGGGCAAAAGAUCAGCUUAAAUCAUUAAUGAAUUCAUCUUUAAAUUACUUGACUUGAAAAGGCUACAUAUUGCUUAUGUGUGACUGUGCAGUCUGGUCUCUAUAUUGUUUCUCAACUCAGACCAUCAGCAUCAAUUUCAUGUGUUCGUAGUCUGGUUCUGCUGACACUAAGAAGUGAUUUACUGAAUAUUGGGGUUUUACUUCUGAUUUUGUAUCCCAAACACAGCUGUAAUUCAGUGUGACUCUAGUGGAGGGUCACUCUGCAUUAGUCCAAGACCUGUCAGAUAUCCAAGUAUUCAAUGGCAAUACCUGAACAGGGACAGGUGGAGAGGACACAUUGAACUUCUCAGCUGGCUUCUUAUUUCCAGCCCCAUGCUCUGUACCGUUGUACUGUGUGGUCAGAAUCCUUCAAUUCUACUUCUUUUUGGUUUGUCAAUGCUAGCAGAUGGAAAUCCAGCUCAACUUUCAAAAAUGCUGAAUAAUUUAUUAAGAACAAAAUUGUUGGGUUUGAGAGCUAGUUCCCUCUCUUUUUCUCCUUUUUUUUUCCCUCUGCAAACUGACUUUCAGAGGCAAAGUUUCUAAUUACAGGUCAGGGAAGCAGGUUUAAUCACACAGCAGAGCCCUUGAUGCAGCAUUAGAGAGCGUUAUUUAUACACCUGAACUAAUAGGGAUGCAGCAUUUCAAUAGAGAACAAUAAGGUGGUUUUCAAUUUCACUCUUUUUUUUUUAAUGUGAAACAAGCCACAUCAGAUUAAGCAGGCUUUUUGACCUAAUUUAUUCAGAUUUUAAGUAACCAACGAGUAAGUGCUCUGCAGACUUGGAGCAGAAAGAAGCAAGAAUAGAGAACUGCACACGUAGCAAGGACAUAUCAGAGAAAGCCAGGAGGAGAUUGAAAGAGGAAGCCUUUGGGCAAACUAACCAGGGCAGAAAUACAAAUAUGCUGCUGUGUGUCCUGGGGAAGAAAUUGGAGGACAGUCUGUGGUAUGUUGAUAUGCACCCAGAUACCUCAAAGCUUUGUUCUUGUAAAACCAGGAAUAGGAGUGGUGAAGAGGAAACUGAAGCAUAUGAAGAGUCCCUUGUACUUCGUGCUUCAGGGAAUGGGAUCCCUGCACCAUCAGCACUUAAAGUCAUUGUCAAUUUUUACUGGACGUGUUGGUUCUGUAGUACUGAAAAGAAGUGAGAAAUCCUGGAUGGGAUUGUUCCUGCAAUGUCAUGGCCUCCAGUGUGAUUGAUUUGCAGCAGUAGGUGAAUUUUCUCAGCUGUUUUGGAACUCAGGUUUCCUAUGGAUUUUUCUCCAGUUUCAUCUCUAACUCCUGUAGUUUGGCUUUAUGUGUUUCACUUGGCUGCUUGGAAAGACUAUAAACAUUUCUAGGCCUUUCCUGGACUUUUUAGGGUUAAAAAGUGGGAGGCUUGUGACUUUGCAUUUGAUUCUCUAAGUUAUGGGAUAAACUGGGCUGGCUGACAUCCUGUUGCCCGGGUAGGUUGUGUGUACCAUUGGUCCAUGUGAUGGGAAAGGCCCCUAGCACUAGGCUCGUGCCUUCCAGCAGCAGUUUUCCUGCUUGUGAUUCAUUAUCCCACAGUGUGCCCAGGAACCUGGCAAAGCUGUGGAGCACAUCAUGACCCAACAACCCAUCUCAUCUGCCAUGUGAAAAGCACGAGAGAGAAAAAGAGAGGGAAUCUGUGCUUCAAAGUAGCUGAAAUGCAGGCUCUGUAUGGAGCAAAGGAUUUCAGCAAGAGUACCCAGGCUUAUGCUCUAUAUGUGAGACUUGACAUAGCCUUGAGCUCCUAGAAUCUGUAUUUUGCUGUGAGUGGUAGAUGUCUAGAUGGCAUACUCAGCUAAGAGACAGAUGAAUGCAGUGCAUUGAGAACCUAUAUGAUAUAUUACUUAAGGAAAAAAAGGUUAUCUACUUUUGUAAAUUUACUUUCAAUCUGAAGAUAAUUUUUUUGUGUUUAGAUUACAAAGACUGUGAACCUUAAUCUCAUGUAUGUCUGCAAAUCAUUACCAUGGUGCUGGAAUGGAUGUGCAGGAGUAGAAACUGAUUCACCAGGCAUGGAAUGUCACAGUGCUGCAGCUCCCUCCACCAGGCUGGGUUUUGAGCAGUGUGCUGGGAUCCAAAACUGGGUUACAACCUGGAUGGAAACUCAAUUGCAGAAAAAGGGUCACAGAUGUAAGACUAAGAAAAGCCUUCAGGAGAGAAAAUGGGAAAUUCUGCUCCCCAGGACACAACAGUAGGCACUCAACUCUACUUUGUGGGCCUUAUGUUGCCAACAGGAGGAGGUUUUCUGCCAGGCUGCAAAGAUGCAAGAUCUGUGCUGCUCUCCCUGUGACAUCCUUGUUAUUACUGUCACAUGCAGACGGCUGACACCCACUGUGUCAAAGCCAAGGGUUUGGUGUUGUGCUGCACCAGACAGCGUGUUGGGUGUGUGAUAGUCAGACUGCCCUUCCUGUGGGAGGAGAUUUAGAGGGAGAUGUUGCUUUUUGGUGUGCAAAAAUAGCUAUCUAUCAAAGCUGGAGGAUUUCAGAGAGGGAGGAGGCUUGUUAGGGAAAGGAUUAGCAGUGAGUACAUGGAUGGUCAUAUUUCAGGACAAACACCUGUAAAUCAGCCUAAGCCUGUAAGUAGCAACCUAUUAAACUGAGUUCACCUCUGCAGCACUCGCCCUGUGCCUGGUCAGCAAGGCCAGAAACCAGCCCUGAGUGGUGCUACAGUCUCAGCCUUUUCCCAUCUUGUGUACCAGUGGAAAUGGAGAAGCUGCAGAUAUUUACAGCUGGCAAGUCAAAACACUUAGUGAUGUAUUAAGGAGGUGAUGCCAUGUUUUUAAUACAUCUUUCUUCAUUUCUGUUUCUUUUCUCAUUUCUAGCCCUUCUUAGAGUUCUGAAAUUAUUUUCCUUCUUGUUUGCUUUUGAGAGGCUUUUUUUAUUUCUCAAGAAUUUGUUUUUGACACAGAUUGUAGGUCAAGUUUCCCUGUCCUGCCCCCUCUGUUCAGCAGAAGAGCUGUUAAAAGGAGUGUGUUGCCUGUUUUCCUGAAGGUGAUGCAUACUAUCCUUCUGGUAUCUCAUGCCUCUUUACUCCAAUUGUAGGAUGAGAAAUCAGGAUAUUAACUUGAAUUCUCUAUUAUUGCCAUUGGCAAUUCAUUUCAAAUAUUGGGUUUUAACAGUAGUUUAAAAGUUUUUUUUUUCCUUUAUUAAAGAAAACCUGUGAAGUUCUAUCAUUGUUAUUAUGUUGUCACCACUAAUUUACAUGAUACUUUCUUUGUUACCUGAGCUAGUAGAAGACACCUUCAGAGAAGGUAUUUAAUGUAAGAAGAUGUAUAAUGAGGAGCCAUUUGGAUUUCUCAGCUGUGAGGGAAUUUCUCUCCUGUAGAUAAGGCAGGGUGAAUAUCUACAAUGAACUGAGGCCCCAGCUCUGACCUCAGCACAUGGGCUGGUCCCGGGGGGUCCAAUAAACCACUGAUUUCAGUAAUACUACAUCCUUGCUUGAAGCAAAAUAUAUAUUUAAAUGGUCUACUGAUCUACUGUUUAACAUAACUGUCUAUUACAAUUAUUGUUAUAAAUCUCUCUGUUAUUUGAAUACUAAUGUGAAGGUGCCUAGCUGGACAAGAUCUGAAACUGUUCAGAGCACAGUGACACCUUUAGGUCUGCUGGAGAGCAGCAAACUCUGCAGCACAGUUUAAUGUCUGUAAUGUGGAACUGGCAGUGCAGCCCUGGGUAACGCAUGUCUAGACACACUUCCAAGUGUUUGUGGCACUUCCUUAUGUUUUAUGUUUUUCUUGAAGAAACAAGCUUGGCUCACCCAAUCAUGGCACUUGUGAAGUUCAGCAAAUUAUGAAGCUAUUUUCUUUUCUCAGAUGUUCUCAGGAUCCUGCAGAUACUGCAGGUGAUCCCUUUGUUUUGAGCUGGCUGCUGUAUCUGCCAGGUCAGCCACAGUUAGUGUUCAAAGCCCAGAACAGCCUGUUGUGAACGAUGAAGAACUGUUGUUUCCUUUGUAUUUAUAAAUAACAAAAUGUAAAGGACUGAGAAAUUUUUCUAAGCUGUGAUUAGAGUUCUAGAUGGAUAAUACAGGUAGAACAUCUUCACACUGGUGCUGUGUUUGCCUGCCUGUCAGUGGGGGGAUUCUGGUGGCACCAGUGCUGCACUUUCCAGAAGGAAGGAACUGGACAUGAAGAAAUGGGACAGGUUGGACAAGGCAUGUGAGUCUUGUGUGUUACUGGAAACCCACAUGAGCUCACAAAGUUAACUGCUGCAGAUCUAAAAGGUUCUUAAACAGCACUACCUCUCCCAACAUCCUCCCAAGGAAAAAUGGGCAUUCCAAACGAUUUGUAUUCAAAGAAACCAAAGUGAAUGUUAUCAUCCCUGUUUUACAGAUACAGAAACUAAGAUUUCAGCAAGUGAUUUACUGUGAGGAGAUCAGGAAUCUAAUUUUGUAAAAAAAUGUUCUUGUAAAUACUUGUCCUGUGUCUUCACUGGUAAGUGUUUAGAGUUCCUUCUGGCUUUGGAGUUUGAGAAUUAGUGGGAACAAUUGAUGUGCCUCUAAAAUGCUGCAUUCAUCUCUUCAGGAUUGUUCAGGUAGUGACUUUCCUUGCUGAAACACAUGGCCUUACCUUCAUUCCAGGAAGUAGGAUGAUCAUUUCUAAAUAAACUUUCAUUAAUUGUAAUGAAAGCAAUUUUGGAAAAGGAGAAUAAUCAGCUGUAUCAGAAAAAAAAAGAAAAAGAAAAAAGUGUG
Molecule: non-coding RNA, 8384 nt
Organism: Phasianus colchicus (ring-necked pheasant)
Lineage: Eukaryota; Metazoa; Chordata; Aves; Galliformes; Phasianidae
Source: RefSeq, a predicted model, not a curated record